CCUACGGGAGGCAGCAGUGGGGAAUAUUGCGCAAUGGGGGAAACCCAGACGCAGAGACGCCGCGUGGACGAGGAAGGCCUUCGGGUUGUAAAGUCCUGUUCUGGGGGAAGAAACAAUAAGGGUCCAAUAAACCCUUAAGCU
This 141-nucleotide ribosomal RNA is filed under the name uncultured bacterium. Its description in RNAcentral is "partial 16S ribosomal RNA". It matches the Rfam family "Bacterial small subunit ribosomal RNA", at positions 338 to 474 of the family's 1533-position model. The record is from RNAcentral.